AUGGGCGCGGCGGCGACCGAAGCGCCGGCAAGCUCACUUGUUGAGCCGGCGGCCGACGCGCACAAGGUGUUCAAUGGAAUGCCCACAAGGCAUAAAUGUCAACUAUGGGUGUUGGCUCCAACACUUCUCAUUUGUCUCAAACCAAUGAGAUGCAUUACGAUGAUCAUGAGUUUGAGGUGGACGAGGAUGGUGAGGGCAUCGUCGAUGCAGCGAAAGGAAGAGGGGGCAACUACACCAUGGACGAAGACAUCUUGCUAUGCAAUGAUUGGUUGCAAGUGUCGAGGGAUCCCUCCAUUGGAGGAGAUCAAAGAACACUUUGAUGUACACAACAAAAGUGGAAUUGACCGCUCUGGAAGAUCUCUUCGCUCCCGGUGGUCGACAAUCAACCAAGAUUGUCAAAGGUGGGCGGCUGCACUUAAGGCGGUUGACAAGUUGAACCCAACUGGCAUUAAUGAUAGAGAUAGGCUCACUAUUGCACAAAAGUUGUUCCAAGGAGAGGAGAAGAAGACCAAGAAAGGAAAGAUCAAGAAAGGGAGACCAUUUACCUUGCCUCAUUGCUAUGAAGAAUUGAAGGAUGAUGAGAAAUGGAAGCCCCGAGAUGCUAUCAAUGAUGAUGAGGAGAGCAACAAACGCAAGCGAACUAUUGAUUUGGAUGAUGAUGGGGAGGAGGCAUCAAGUGAUGAUGGCAAGAGAAGCCCUACACCAAACUCGGUUUCGUACUCCAAGCCAAAAAGACCGGAUGGAUGCAAGAAAGACGGAAAAGAAAAGAAGAAGAGGAAAGCAAAUGACGAGCUAAAAAAUGCUAUGGAAGCUAUUGUGUAG
RNAcentral lists this ribosomal RNA (822 nucleotides) under Triticum aestivum (bread wheat). RNAcentral's name for it is "partial small subunit ribosomal RNA". Lineage: Eukaryota; Viridiplantae; Streptophyta; Magnoliopsida; Poales; Poaceae. The record is from RNAcentral.